CAUUGCUUCACUCGGCCUCCGCUGUGAACCCGCUUUGGCUGAGAGGGGUGGAGAGGGGCCAGUUUUGCGGAGGAAGCGGCUGUGAGCGAGUGAAGUGGAAGGAAUGGUCACCGGGAGCCUCAUAACGCACCCUUGCACCAUCGUUACUGAGGGAAGGCGGAGAGCUGAACCAAGUGGACCCAGGGGACGCCCACGGAGCUCAUGGUAAGGGCAGCUGUGUGGAGGCUUGCCUGGGUUGACCGUCUGGGUUGGAGUCGGCGGGCACGAUGGCUUGCUGACUUCACAAUGCAGGUCACCUCUGCUUGGUGUGGCCGAGUCAGGAGUUCAACCCUCCAACAGGCACUGCUACAGUCCAGGUGCUUGGUGUGGGCGAGUCAGGAGUUCAACCCUCCAACAGGCACUGCUACAGUCCAGGUGCUUGGUGUAGCCGAGUCAGGAGUUCAACCCUCCAACAGGCACUGCUACAGUCCAGGAUGGAGAGUCAUGGAGCACAGUGGUGGGAGAACUCAGCCGUCAGUCCCGGCCCAGGAACUGUCAGGGAAAAGGAAGUUGGUUCAUCAGCUCUGAAGGGAGUGUGUCACUGCUUCUCAUACACUCCACCAAGGAGGCAUCUCUUUGGCUGAAUGGUAAAGGAGUGGCUUUUCUAUCUCACUGGUCAUGGGUUUGAUCCCGGCACCGGUGAAACCCUUUACGGGUCGUGUGUUUUGUGACAGGCAGAGGUCAUAUUUAGGGUAUAAUGAAGUUGAAAUUGCUGCCACCACAUUCAUUACCCAAAUUUCACUUCACUACACCUUCACAUGACCUCUGUGUGUUAUGGGACACACAAGAAAUUACUCCAGGCCAGGAAAGGUUUACCGGUGCUGGGGACUGAACCUGUGACUGCCAGAUGGGAAAGUCACUCCUUAACCAGCCAGCCAAAGACGUGCCCUCUCAUAGAGUGAGUUUGGGAGGGUUUCCCCGCAGGCGAGUCAGGCACUACAGUAAUGUGGCAGCAUUUUGUUACUAUCAUCAACACUGUAGGAUCAGUAGUAAUCUACUGACAAAUAUUAUUUUCCUCCCAA
This is a long non-coding RNA of Eriocheir sinensis (Chinese mitten crab), 1061 nucleotides long. RefSeq lists it as uncharacterized. The transcript has 3 exons. Lineage: Eukaryota; Metazoa; Arthropoda; Malacostraca; Decapoda; Varunidae. The record is from RefSeq and is a predicted model, not a curated record.